Strigops habroptila (Kakapo) is the source of this 73-nucleotide non-coding RNA. The record is from the annotation of a RefSeq genome assembly. NCBI's taxonomy places the organism in Eukaryota, Metazoa, Chordata, Aves, Psittaciformes, Psittacidae.
GCCCAGUUAGCUCAGUCAGUAGAACAUGAGACCCUUAAUCUCAGGGUUGUGGGUUCAAGCCCCACAUUAGGCA